UGCCCCUUGGUGUAAUUGGUAACACGCCUGACUCUGAAUCAGGUAUUCAAGGUUCGAGUCCUUGAGGGGCAGCCA
Molecule: transfer RNA, 75 nt
Filed under: Planctomycetota bacterium
Lineage: Bacteria; Pseudomonadati; Planctomycetota
Description: tRNA-Gln
Rfam family: tRNA
About the family: Transfer RNA (tRNA) molecules are approximately 80 nucleotides in length. Their secondary structure includes four short double-helical elements and three loops (D, anti-codon, and T loops).
Source: RNAcentral